UCUAAGCAGAGUGUUUUGGAAGGAGUUAAGGGGCUGUGGCAAACACCCUCUCCACCGUCAUGGCCUGGCAUCGGAAUGUUCGAGGCUUUGACUAUGAUGAAGAUUUUGAAGUUGAUGAUCUCUAUGGCCAGUCUGUAGAGGAUGAUUAUUGUAAUUCACCAUCAACAGCUGCUCAGUUUAUUUAUUCACGGGGUGACAAACCUUCCGUUGAGCCUGUAGAAGAAUAUGAUCAUGAAGAUCUGAAAGAAUCUUCCAAUUCUGUUUCGAACCACCAGCUCAGUGGAUUUGAUCAAGCUCAUCUUUAUUCAUUCCUUGAUCAAAUGAGAGAAGGUACUUGGAGAUGCUGUGCCAGAUGAAAUAUUAAUUGAAGCAGUUCUGAAGAACAAGUUUGAUGUGCAGAAGCCUUUGUCAGGGGUUCUGGAUUAGCAUGCAGAAUUUGAAGGACGAGAAUGAGGGAACAGUAUCUACAGGAAAGACAACAAAAGGCAAGGAGUCUUAUUUUCCUCUUCUGAAGUUUCAGCUAAUAAUGUUCAAAGUUCUUAUCCUCAGUCAGCAAAUCAUUUGGAUUAUUGUAGCAAACCCUUUGAUUUUUCUAGCUCAGUAGGAAAAUACGGAUUAUCUCAUAAUUCUUCAGUUCCAAGUCACUGUUUACUCCAUAGGAAAAAGAAACUUGACAGACUUAAAAGGGAGAAGAAACUGGAAUUAUGUAAGUUAACAAGAGAACUUUCACUAGCUGACCUAAUUCAUGAUAUGUCAAGAGAUUCCUGUGACAGUCAGCCAUCAGUCAGAUUAUCAUCUACAGACAGUCUGGGAAGUCUACUUUCAAAGAACCUAGAUGCUGAUCUGUUGAGACCUCAUGCAUCCGAAUGUGUUUCCAAAGAUGAUUCUGCAUUCAAAGAAAUGCCAGAUUUAAAGGCCAUCAUGAUAAAGAGCACAACACCGAGUAAUUCUUUAUAUAUUCAAAAUAAUUCACUCUCUGAUUUUCAAAACAUUCCAGUACAGGGCAGUUUAGGAAGUUCAAAUAAUCCUUUGUGCUUAACUAGCUCAUUGGAAAAUAUGACUGUUGAUCAUUUAAAUGCUAGUAAAGAAACUGAAGUUGGAAGUGUUUCUUUAGUUGAACAAAGUGCCAAGAAUUACAUUUUUAAAAAUGAUAAUUUGCAGUUUUCUCAGUGUGAAAGUCCAUUCCUAACAGAACUGUUUCAGGAACACAAAGAAACCAAUAUAAGCCAGUGCUUUACUUUGUCUGACCUUUGUAACCAGUCAUCUGCCAGUUUCACAGAUCUAAGUUUGGGAUCCUUUCCCCUGUCACAAUUAGCAAAUCGCUGUCAGUCUUCACCCGGAAUAUCAGAAUUAACAGGAUCUCUGUUGUCACUGGCAUUUCCUAAAGCUUCUCACAAGAGACCUUAAGAAUUUAUCACUUUCUGAAUUGAUUGCAGAAACGAUUGAUGUAUACAACUCUCAGAUUAAGAAAGAGUCCUUUGAGGUCAGUUUAUCUGAAGAGAGGUCUCCUGGAAUAGAUUCAAAUAUUGAUCUCAGUGUCCUUAUAAAAAACCCAGAUUUUGUUUCAAAGCGUAUAGUAGACCAAUCCAUUGCUCCAUCGUCACGAACUGAAGUUCUAAGUUCAAAGCUACGGAAGAAUUCCAAUUUUGCUAAGGAUAAUAAGAAAAGCAAUAAAGGCUCUCUGACCAGGAAACCACCUUUUUCUCUGUCUUAGACCAAGGCCCUUGCUGCUAGACCUUCAGCUUUUCCCUCAACACUGUGUCUUUGUCACCCACUGAAAAGCUGCAAGUGACGCACCCUUGACUUCCGUAAGACUUUUCUUUAUGGUAGACAAGUUCAAGAUGUAAAGGACAAAGAAAUAAGUCCUCUUGUAGCGAUAACACCAUUGACUUCAAAUCAGCAUCACCUGAUGACAUUGUAAAAGCUAAUCAAAAAAAGCAUUUGCUAGAGAAUAGUAACAAAAGGAAAACUUGAUUGCUGUUGUAGAGCUUUUUAUUUUUAAUUAAAGUCUUCAGAGAAUCACUUUAUAUGAUGGGAUUCAAAUUGUGAUUUUCACCAAAGUUGUUGUAGGUCAGUUGAUUAGUUGAUACGUAUUUUUGCACUGAAUUUUUUUUAACUAUGUCUUCUUUCGGUGAUAACUGACUUUAUUUAAGCUGGUAACCUAUACUGAGCAUAUGUUUACAAAGUGGAUAUGGAAACUUGAUGUUGUGAAAUCAGACCUCAGAUAUUUUUGUUUGAAGCAUUCCACUUCCUAUGUUUUUUAUGAUGAAAUAUUUUUUUCUAUGAAAUAUUUUUGUGCUUUGUUCAUCAAUGAAAAUUCCAGGACUUGGAAUUAUAAUCGUUUAGUGUGAAGAUUAUUCUUAUGUGGCACAGCAUAGU
Molecule: RNA transcript, 2379 nt
Organism: Cercocebus atys (sooty mangabey)
Lineage: Eukaryota; Metazoa; Chordata; Mammalia; Primates; Cercopithecidae
Exons: 1
Source: RefSeq, a predicted model, not a curated record